UGAAGCUCCAGCUUGCUGGAGUGGAUCAGUGGCGAACGGGUGAGUAACACGUGAGCAACCUGCCCCGGACUCUGGGAUAAGCGCUGGAAACGGCGUCUAAUACCGGAUACGCACCAGAACCGCAUGGUUACUGGUGGGAAAGAUUUUUUGGUUCGGGAUGGGCUCGCGGCCUAUCAGCUUGUUGGUGAGGUAACGGCUCACCAAGGCGUCGACGGGUAGCCGGCCUGAGAGGGUGACCGGCCACACUGGGACUGAGACACGGCCCAGACUCCUACGGGAGGCAGCAGUGGGGAAUAUUGCACAAUGGGCGGAAGCCUGAUGCAGCAACGCCGCGUGAGGGACGACGGCCUUCGGGUUGUAAACCUCUUUUAGCAGGGAAGAAGCGAAAGUGACGGUACCUGCAGAAAAAGCGCCGGCUAACUACGUGCCAGCAGCCGCGGUAAUACGUAGGGCGCAAGCGUUAUCCGGAAUUAUUGGGCGUAAAGAGCUCGUAGGCGGUCUGUCGCGUCUGCUGUGAAAACCCGAGGCUCAACCUCGGGCCUGCAGUGGGUACGGGCAGACUAGAGUGCGGUAGGGGAGAUUGGAAUUCCUGGUGUAGCGGUGGAAUGCGCAGAUAUCAGGAGGAACACCGAUGGCGAAGGCAGAUCUCUGGGCCGUAACUGACGCUGAGGAGCGAAAGGGUGGGGAGCAAACAGGCUUAGAUACCCUGGUAGUCCACCCCGUAAACGUUGGGAACUAGUUGUGGGGGCCUUUCCACGGUCUCCGUGA
This 768-nucleotide ribosomal RNA is filed under the name Microbacterium sp. Its description in RNAcentral is "bacterial SSU rRNA". It matches the Rfam family "Bacterial small subunit ribosomal RNA", at positions 68 to 846 of the family's 1533-position model. The record is from RNAcentral. Lineage: Bacteria; Bacillati; Actinomycetota; Actinomycetes; Micrococcales; Microbacteriaceae.